AGGAUGUGGGUUUCUCUUCCUCUCCAAAUCCGGCUCCUCUCCUUGACCUCAGGUCCAAGACGGAAGCGGCUGCAUUCUGGGCAGCAGGAUGUGGAAAAGAAGGGGGUCAAGGACUCACACGUACUGUCCUUUGAGAAGUUUCCUCUGGGACCCUUGCCCUUAUAUCUCCGUAGCCAGAAUUCGGUCACAGGCCACAGAUCCUGCCAGUGCACCCCAAGGCUCCUUGCAGCAAUGAAACCAUGCCCUUGGCAAUCUGCGGACUGCAGCGGCUCUCCUGGCAGAGUUACGGAUUCUUCAGAGCGCUUUCUCAUCACGUCUGGAGGACAGGACGGGAGCGGAUAACUCUCCAGGAUGACACAUCCAAGAGGAGAUGUAUGACCCGGAAGUCUUCACUGGGAGCUGGAGGGGUCUUUUACAGAGACUGGGAGGUUGGAGAGGGCCAAGGGUUUAGAGUCCGAAGAUCAGAGUUCAGGUCCCUGUGCCCAGCAUUACCUGUGUGACUUUGAACAAGUCACUUCAUCUCUUUGUGUUUCUGUUUCCUCAUCUAUAAAAUGGAGACGUGCGCCUGCUUCACCUGUCCCACGGGGUUGCUGAAGAUCAAAGUGUGGUAACUUCAAGCUCUUAGUCAAGUCUGUGGGGAUGGCCUUUGUGAGGAAAGUGAGAGCUGCUCAUUGUGCCCAGCUGACUGUGGGAUGAGGAAAAUGAGGCACAAAAAGGUCAAGUGCUUUGCCCAAGUUCACAAGAAGAGUAAAUGAGGGAGCUGGGAUUUGAGCCCAGUCUGUUUAGCUCCAAAGUCCAUUUCUUUGCUCAUCCUCUUGCCCAGUGUUGCCUCUCGGUAAGAUGGUGGCAGAGCUUGGAUUGAACCCAAUCUCUGGGCUCUGUGUCUAGUGCUCUUCCCACACACUUUAGAGAAGACAGCCUUGGGCCCUAACUUCCCUUGGGCUGGAGAGGCGUGUAAGACUAGUCCUGGAGUUUGGAAAGGUCCACACUGAGCUCAACUGUUACUGUCUGGCCCUGCUUUUUGGGAAUUGUUUCUCUGGCCAAAGGAGUAUGGGUCUACAGACAUUUCUGAUUUUCAAAUGGAUUCUUCAGUUGCCUGAAGCAAAUGGUUUCUAUCCGUGGUUCUCAGCCAUGCUAUUAAGAUGCAUUGGUGCAGGGCAAGGAGUUGUGAGGUGCCAGCAAUUAAUAAUAGUUAAUGUAAUCUGAGACUGGAGCACCUGGGGAUUUCAGAAUUGGCAGCUGGGACUUCUCUCCCAGAGCCUCAGCGAAGGGAUCGGGGCAUGCAGCACCUUCUGUUUGUUGUUAAAUGGCCUCAAUCCUAUCUCUGCCUCAAGUGUAAACUUUAAUGAGCAUGUCCUGCCACACCGUGUGUAGAACUCUGCACUUUGUUCUUAUUUUACAAAAGGCAGAGUACGUGAUGUGAAAGAACCUAGUGUCUAACAGAGGAGAGGAGAGCAAGCUAGAAAACACACUGCACCUUGUGGUCCAUGCAGCGUGGCGUCCCGUUCAAUGACUGCCUGACCAGCAAAUAAUAAUUAUAAACAAAUUAAAGCAUUCUUGCUGUUUCUCCUGAAAACGCCAUAGCAGAACUUCUGAAAAAUCCUAUUUUUUCCAUCUUAAAGUAUGUCCUUAACACUGCAGCUUUCCAAAGUCUCUCUUCUCCCCCAGCACAAGCUGCUCCCCAAAUCUCUACCCAACUGGACCCCCAUAAACCUGCCUGUCUCUUCAUUUCUCCUUCCUUGCUCAGCCCUUCAUUACGUAGGUCAAUGCAGCCUUUUUAGUGACUUUAAUUUCCCUUCUUCCCCCGUCAUCUUGGUUCUGCACAGUAAAGAAAGGUCUAGGAGCUGAUGGAGAAGUUAAGAUAACUCCCUCCUUAGAUGGAGGUGGGGUGGUUUGAGGCAGAGACUGGGGCUGCUCGUGCAUUUCUUUUUGGUCAAAUCAGCUUUAAGUGCAUCCGCAUGGUAUUAAAUUUAAAGUCUCCAAUUCUUACCAGCUCCUGCUCUAAAGUGUGGGCUCCUGCUCCUCGUGUCACUGGUGUGUAUCUAGAAAACUGUGAAAGUGCAUCUAAACAUUAUUCUAGAAACUGUUAUUAGACAGGCCCAUUUACCCCCCGAACCUAGACAGUAUAUUCUGAAACUGAAAGUCCAUGGUUUGGCAUUUUCUAUUGUUUUGGAUUGUUGAUGCCACUGUUCCCCUCCCUGGGGUAGAUAAUAGAGCUUGUUGACCGUGGGGGCAGAGUGUGUGGGGGGGUGUGAGAGAGAAAUAGUUCCCCGGAGCCUUUAAUAAGAGAAUGGAAAGGAGUUCACAAGAUUGCUAGAAAAUGAUUCCAGAGAAGUAGGGGCAGGACAGGGAGGGAGAACAGCAAUAGCUUUUGAAGGGCGAGAAAACAGAAUAUUUUCCUUUAUUUUGAUGCUGAAAUGUGCAAUGUAUCAGAAUUAAAGAUCUGAUAAAUCUGAAAUAAAGUCAUGUGAUGUUUUAAAAAUUGUAUUGAAUUCUCAAAUCUUUGGCUUCUUGUUUAUAUGACUUUUUAAUUGAGAUCCUUAUUAAACCCACUGCAAUCAACUUUGCUAAUGAGUUCCAUCGUCUAAUUGGUAGUCUGUUGCUAAUGAUGAA
Equus asinus (donkey) is the source of this 2613-nucleotide long non-coding RNA. NCBI's taxonomy places the organism in Eukaryota, Metazoa, Chordata, Mammalia, Perissodactyla, Equidae. The record is from Ensembl.